CCUACGGGCGGCAGCAGUGGGGAAUAUUGGACAAUGGGCGAAAGCCUGAUCCAGCCAUGCCGCGUGUGUGAAGAAGGCCUUCGGGUUGUAAAGCACUUUCAGUGGGGAAGAAAGCCUUGGGGCUAAUACCCUCGAGGAAGGACAUCACCCACAGAAGAAGCACCGGCUAACUCCGUGCCAGCAGCCGCGGUAAUACGGAGGGUGCGAGCGUUAAUCGGAAUUACUGGGCGUAAAGCGCGCGUAGGCGGUCUGAUAAGCCGGUUGUGAAAGCCCCGGGCUCAACCUGGGAACGGCAUCCGGAACUGUCAGGCUAGAGUGCAGGAGAGGAAGGUAAAAUUCCCGGUGUAGCGGUGAAAUGCGUAGAGAUCGGGAGGAAUACCAGUGGCGAAGGCGGCCUUCUGGACUGACACUGACGCUGAGGUGCGAAAGCGUGGGUAGCAAACAGGAUUAGAUACCCCUGUAGU
RNAcentral lists this ribosomal RNA (464 nucleotides) under Vreelandella stevensii. Its description in RNAcentral is "partial 16S ribosomal RNA". It matches the Rfam family "Bacterial small subunit ribosomal RNA", at positions 338 to 794 of the family's 1533-position model. The record is from RNAcentral. Lineage: Bacteria; Pseudomonadati; Pseudomonadota; Gammaproteobacteria; Oceanospirillales; Halomonadaceae.